GUAGGGAAUCUUCCGCAAUGGACGCAAGUCUGACGGAGCAACGCCGCGUGAGUGAUGAAGGUUUUCGGAUCGUAAAGCUCUGUUGCCAGGGAAGAACGCUAUGGAGAGUAACUGUUCCAUAGGUGACGGUACCUGAGAAGAAAGCCCCGGCUAACUACGUGCCAGCAGCCGCGGUAAUACGUAGGGGGCAAGCGUUGUCCGGAAUUAUUGGGCGUAAAGCGCGCGCAGGCGGUCAUGUAAGUCUGGUGUUUAAACCCGGGGCUCAACUCCGGGUCGCAUCGGAAACUGUGUGACUUGAGUGCAGAAGAGGAAAGUGGAAUUCCACGUGUAGCGGUGAAAUGCGUAGAGAUGUGGAGGAACACCAGUGGCGAAGGCGACUUUCUGGGCUGUAACUGACGCUGAGGCGCGAAAGCGUGGGGAGCAAACAGG
This 429-nucleotide ribosomal RNA is filed under the name bacterium. RNAcentral's name for it is "bacterial SSU rRNA". It matches the Rfam family "Bacterial small subunit ribosomal RNA", at positions 354 to 776 of the family's 1533-position model. The record is from RNAcentral.